AUUGAACGCUGGCGGCAGGCCUAACACAUGCAAGCCGAACGGCAGCGGGGGAUAGCUUGCUAUCCUGCCGGCGAGUGGCGGACGGGUGAGUAAUGCAUGGGGAGCUGCCCAGUCGAGGGGGAUAACAACUGGAAACGGUUGCUAAUACCGCAUACGCCCUGAGGGGGAAAGGUGGGGAACUUCGGUCCUACCGCGAUUGGAUGCGCCCAUGUGGGAUUAGCUAGUUGGCGAGGUAACGGCUCACCAAGGCGACGAUCUCUAGCUGGUCUGAGAGGAUGACCAGCCACACUGGAACUGAGACACGGUCCAGACUCCUACGGGAGGCAGCAGUGGGGAAUAUUGCACAAUGGGGGAAACCCUGAUGCAGCCAUGCCGCGUGUGUGAAGAAGGCCUUAUGGUUGUAAAGCACUUUAAGCGAGGAGGAGGCUCUUUUGGUUAAUACCCAAGAUGAGUGGACGUUACUCGCAGAAUAAGCACCGGCUAACUCUGUGCCAGCCGCCGCGGUAA
This 507-nucleotide ribosomal RNA is filed under the name uncultured bacterium. RNAcentral's name for it is "partial 16S ribosomal RNA". It matches the Rfam family "Bacterial small subunit ribosomal RNA", at positions 30 to 523 of the family's 1533-position model. The record is from RNAcentral.